This 315-nucleotide unclassified non-coding RNA is filed under the name Athalia rosae (coleseed sawfly). RNAcentral's name for it is "misc RNA ENSAEAG00005006940.1". Lineage: Eukaryota; Metazoa; Arthropoda; Insecta; Hymenoptera; Athaliidae. The record is from RNAcentral.
ACGAAACAUCCGAUCGAGGGCGUGUAAUUUGGUACAUGGUCAACAGAGUACAUAUGUGUUGCAGGUUUUCCGUCUUGGAUUCGACGGCAGUUCGGCUUCGGCGACAGGAGCGGCGACAUCAGGAGCGACAUUAGUAGCAAAGCAGAUUCCUCAGAGCGACGAUGGAGAGAGAGAACGGAUAUCAACGAGUCUCUCCAAAGAUCGACUACUCUCCAUCCUGUUCCGGUAGAGAUGGAUCUGCAACACAUGAGACGUACUACUCCUUUUUUUUGCGGAGGUAUGUUUCAUUUGAUUUAUCCCUUUCGAGAGUCCCUA